CCUACGGGAGGCAGCAGUGGGGAAUAUUGCGCAAUGGGCGCAAGCCUGAUCCAGCAACGCCGCGUGAAGGAAGAAGGCUUUCGGGUUGUAAACUUCUUUUCUCAGGGACGAAGGAAGUGACGGUACCUGAGUAAUAAGCCACGGCUAACUACGUGCCAGCAGCCGCGGUAAUACGUAGGUGGCAAGCGUUAUCCGGAUUUACUGGGUGUAAAGGGAGUGUAGGCGGGGACGCAAGUCAGAUGUGAAAACCACGGGCUCAACCUGUGGCCUGCAUUUGAAACUGUGUAUCUUGAGUACUGGAGAGGCAGACGGAAUUCCUAGUGUAGCGGUGAAAUGCGUAGAUAUUAGGAGGAACACCAGUGGCGAAGGCGGUCUGCUGGACAGCAACUGACGCUGAGGCGCGAAAGCGUGGGGAGCAAACAGGAUUAGAUACCCGGGUAGUC
This 443-nucleotide ribosomal RNA is filed under the name uncultured bacterium. RNAcentral's name for it is "partial 16S ribosomal RNA". It matches the Rfam family "Bacterial small subunit ribosomal RNA", at positions 338 to 795 of the family's 1533-position model. The record is from RNAcentral.